RNAcentral lists this unclassified non-coding RNA (264 nucleotides) under Hevea brasiliensis (rubber tree). Lineage: Eukaryota; Viridiplantae; Streptophyta; Magnoliopsida; Malpighiales; Euphorbiaceae. The record is from RNAcentral.
GGCGAGAGAGAAAUUGAGCUGGAUGUAGAUGAAGUAAAUGGCCGCGAGGAUGGAGGAGGCGAUCAGGAGGGCGGAUCGGGGAAGAGAGAUGAAGAGGAGGGAGGAGAGGAGGAAAAAGAGGGCGGCGAGGGGGAGGAGGGUGAGGAGGAGGCGGCAGAGGGAGGCGGGUAGGGAUCGGAGAGCGGGGAGGAGGUGGACGGGACGACCGAAGAAGCCUUGGUUGACGCUGUGGGUAACGGUUGUGGCGGCGCAGGCGACGAGGGC